UACGUAGGGUGCAAGCGUUAUCCGGAAUUAUUGGGCGUAAAGAGCUCGUAGGCGGUUUGUCGCGUCUGCUGUGAAAACCGGAGGCUCAACCUCCGGCCUGCAGUGGGUACGGGCAAACUAGAGUGCGGUAGGGGAGAUUGGAAUUCCUGGUGUAGCGGUGGAAUGCGCAGAUAUCAGGAGGAACACCGAUGGCGAAGGCAGAUCUCUGGGCCGUAACUGACGCUGAGGAGCGAAAGCUAGGGGAGCGAACGGG
This 253-nucleotide ribosomal RNA is filed under the name uncultured bacterium. Its description in RNAcentral is "partial 16S ribosomal RNA". It matches the Rfam family "Bacterial small subunit ribosomal RNA", at positions 524 to 776 of the family's 1533-position model. The record is from RNAcentral.